This 789-nucleotide long non-coding RNA is filed under the name Lonchura striata (white-rumped munia). RNAcentral's name for it is "domestica (Bengalese finch) lncRNA (ENSLSDG00000004753.1)". The record is from RNAcentral. Lineage: Eukaryota; Metazoa; Chordata; Aves; Passeriformes; Estrildidae.
GGGGUGGUCAGAAAGGUUUGGGGUGCCCAGGAGGAUGCACAGGAGGGUUUGGGGUGCCCAAGGAAUGCAUAGGAGAGUUUGGGGUGCCCAGGAGGGUUUGGGGUAGGUGGUUUUGUGGUGCUCAGGAGGGUUUUGGGUGCUCAGAAGGGUUUGGGGUGCUCCGGAGGCUGCCCAGGAGGGUUUGGGGUGGCUGGAAGCGUUUGGGCUCAGUGAGGGGCUGGUUGAAGGCUCUUGGGGUGGUCAGAAGGGUUUGGGCUAAUCCAAAAUCCAUCAGUGCCAGGAGGUGACACAGGAUAAUUUAUUAACCAUUUCUUACCCGUGCUGAAGAAAACAAUUGAAUCCCUGUGGUCUUCAAAGAGCCCCCCAGAAAAACCCUUAAGGCACAAAAUUGGCUGUUCCUGCAGCGGGGCACUCAGGGGGUGCAAUCCCAAAAAGGUUUGGCCAUGCCAAAACUCCUUCCUGGGUGAGGCUGAGCCAGGAGCCCUGGAGCAGCUCCUGGUGCCCUGGAUCAGCUCCUGGACCAGCUCUGGGUGCCCUGGAUCAGCUCCUGGAUCAUCUCCUGGUGCCCUGGAUCAGCUCCUGGUGCCCUGGAUCAUCUCCUGGAUCAGCUCUGGAUCAGCUCCUGGUGUCCUGGAUCAGCUCCUGGACCAGCCCCUGCUGCUCCCUCAGCCCCAGCCAGGCACAGGGACACUCCCAGCACGGUGAGCAGCAUUCCUGCCACAGCUCCUGUGGGGGAGAAGAAACAAAUCCGUGACAAAUAAAUGGGAAUAAACUGGGAAUCUGCCUCCA